ACCCUGAUGCAGCCAUGCCGCGUGUGUGAAGAAGGCCUUCGGGUUGUAAAGCACUUUCAGUCGUGAGGAAGGCAUAUGCGUUAAUAGCGCAUGUGUUUGACGUUAGCGACAGAAGAAGCACCGGCUAACUCCGUGCCAGCAGCCGCGGUAAUACGGAGGGUGCGAGCGUUAAUCGGAAUUACUGGGCGUAAAGCGCAUGCAGGCGGCUUGUUAAGCCAGAUGUGAAAGCCCGGGGCUCAACCUCGGAAUAGCAUUUGGAACUGGCAGGCUAGAGUCUUGUAGAGGGGGGUAGAAUUUCAGGUGUAGCGGUGAAAUGCGUAGAGAUCUGAAGGAAUACCGGUGGCGAAGGCGGCCCCCUGGACAAAGACUGACGCUCAGAUGCGAAAGCGUGGGGAGCAAACAGGAUUAGAUACCCUGGUAGUCCACGCCGUAAACGAUGUCUACUUGGAGGUUGGUGUCUUGAACACUGGCUUUCGGAGCUAACGCGUUAAGUAGACCGCCUGGG
This 505-nucleotide ribosomal RNA is filed under the name Photobacterium sp. 5Bf5S271. RNAcentral's name for it is "bacterial SSU rRNA". It matches the Rfam family "Bacterial small subunit ribosomal RNA", at positions 380 to 877 of the family's 1533-position model. Lineage: Bacteria; Pseudomonadati; Pseudomonadota; Gammaproteobacteria; Vibrionales; Vibrionaceae. The record is from RNAcentral.